CGGCUGCCGGGCGGAGACGCUCCUCACUUCCCAGACAGGCACCGAUAAUACGCUGUCAUGUGUACAGUAACAUUCAAGAUGGAACUGGAGGAGCAGGGAACAUAGAGUGAUGGGGAAGAAAAGAGGGAAUCCCGAGCAGAGAAAACUGGGAAAAGAACUAGAGGGAAUGUAAAUGGAAAGGCUAGAGCUACAGAGGCAUCUCGAUCUAUGAGAAAAAGGCCACGAGAAUCAUAGGGGCCUCACUCAGCCUUGUUAUCCCUGAGCUCCUGAAUCAGUGCCAGAAACCACCUGUGGAGUCCUAAUAAGAUAACUCCUUUUAGAAGAAAAUUCAAGAUCUGGCAACACUGUGCCCAAGCUUCUCUAAGGAAGAGAUUGUCAAAGUGUGGUGCCUGGACCAGCAGCAUUAGCAUCACCUGGGACCAGUUAGAAAUGAAGAUGCUCAGGCUCCAUCCCAGACCUGCUGGGGCUGGGGCCCAACAAUCUGUGUUUUAACAGGCUCCCUGUGUGACUGUGAUACGUGAUGCUCCAAGGUAACAGUGGUACUUGCAAAUCUUAAGUUUCUGGCUGAGCACUUUCAGUGUGGGGGAAAAUACUCUAUAGAACAUCACAGCCAGGGAAGGCAAAAUAUUCUCCAUAGCUUCAUUAAUUAUACUGGGAACAUCAAGUAGCCCCUGGGAAAAUCUCUACAGAUGCACUCCUGAGAGGGAAUAUUACAGGGAUUGGAGAUAAAAAUCCCUAAGGAAAAUUAGUGGCUAGUAACCCACAGAGAAGAGGAAAUUAAAUAUAUUUUAGAUAGGACUGCACAAAGGCUUAAUGCAACUUAAGAUAUGCAGAUUGAUGUGUAAUAUAAAUAUAUUUACUCUUAGCAAAAGCUUCCCUGAAAGCCACUGCCAUUUAUUGCAUGUUUUUAAUUGAGAUUUAGUGCAUCCCAUAAAUUGGUCACUUUUUAUAAAAGGAAUAUAGUUCAUUUGGGGAAACAUAUUUUAAAAAUAUUUUGCAAACACUUAGAAUCUGUUUUUUCUGUAUUAAUUUAUCCAUCCAACUAUCCAUUCAUAUACAGCAAAAUAAAGUAUAUGUCACACAGACAAUGUUCAUUGAACUGAAAUCUCUCCAAGUAUAAAUGAUACUAUAGAAAUAAAUGGGUAACUUGGCUUAUAAAGAGAGAAAGUAGAUUCUGUUUACAACAUACUUGGAAAGAGUAGUUUCUAAAGACAUUAGAAUAUUAAAACUGGUUGGCAUUUUAUGCAUCCCAUUAUAAGAAUUAAAGUCAAUAUUACAUAAGUGUUAGAAAUAAAUCCCUGCCAAUAAUCACUAAUGACACAGAAACCAGGACAAUCAAGACCAUCCUGGUCAAUAUGGUGAAACCCCGUCUCUACUAAAAACACAAAAAUUAGCUGGGCA
Molecule: long non-coding RNA, 1401 nt
Filed under: Homo sapiens (human)
Lineage: Eukaryota; Metazoa; Chordata; Mammalia; Primates; Hominidae
Description: HSALNT0399502
Source: RNAcentral